RNAcentral lists this small RNA (939 nucleotides) under Pongo abelii (Sumatran orangutan). RNAcentral's name for it is "retained intron". The record is from RNAcentral. Lineage: Eukaryota; Metazoa; Chordata; Mammalia; Primates; Hominidae.
CGGAAGACGGGCGGCGCGUGGCGGAAGGCAGGCUUGCUCCUCGGGGUGGGGGAGGGUAUCCGGCUUAACGGGGCUGCGGUGGACGCCACUUCUUAAUGUCGGGGGUCUUCGCGGCGCUCACCUCGGCUCCUGGGGUUCGGGACGGUACGCAGCAGACACCUUCGCGCCGAAGGCGGUAGGGCGCCACGGAAAGGAACCGCUGUAGGCACGUAAGGCCUCGUGAGGUUGCGUCGCGCGCGGAGCCCUCUGGGACUUGUAGUUCUGGAGAUGGAGCGAGCUGUGCCGCUCGUGGUGCCUCUGGGUCAGACAGAGGUGUUCCAGGCCUUGCAGCGGCUCCAUAUGACCAUCUUCUCCCAGAGCGUCUCACCAUGUGGGAAGUUUCUGGCGGCUGGCAACAAUUAUGGGCAGAUUGCCAUCUUCAGCUUGUCUGCUGCUUUGAGCUCAGAAGCCAAAGAGGAAAGUAAGAAACCGGUGGUGACUUUCCAAGGUGGGUAUAGCUGUGGAGUCUGGCUUCAGGACUUUGGGUGGGAUUGGCUCACUCAGUUCUGCAUUUCUCUUUAGCCCAUGAUGGGCCUGUCUAUAGCAUGGUUUCCACCGAUCGACAUCUGCUUAGUGCUGGGGAUGGGGAGGUGAAGGCCUGGCUUUGGGCGGAGAUGCUCAAGAAGGUAAGGAGUCGAGCUUGGGAAAGGGCUUGGGUGCCUGGACCCAGAGAGAGCCUUUGAGGUCACCUGGUAUUUUCCCUUUUGAAGGGCUGUAAGGAGCUGUGGCGUCGUCAGCCUCCAUACAGGUGAGCCAGGGCCACGUGGAUAGAGGGUGCAUCAGGGUGAAGCCACUUCCUCACUGACCUUGCCUUUCCUUCCCCAGGACCAGCCUGGAAGUGCCCGAGAUCAAUGCUUUGCUGCUGGUCCCCAAGGAGAAUUCCCUCAUCCUGGCUGGGGG